RNAcentral lists this transfer RNA (73 nucleotides) under Elusimicrobiota bacterium. RNAcentral's name for it is "Elusimicrobia bacterium (activated sludge metagenome) tRNA-Thr". It matches the Rfam family "tRNA". From Rfam's summary of the family: Transfer RNA (tRNA) molecules are approximately 80 nucleotides in length. Their secondary structure includes four short double-helical elements and three loops (D, anti-codon, and T loops). Further hydrogen bonds mediate the characteristic L-shaped molecular structure. tRNAs have two regions of fundamental functional importance: the anti-codon, which is responsible for specific mRNA codon recognition, and the 3' end, to which the tRNAs corresponding amino acid is attached (by aminoacyl-tRNA synthetases). tRNAs cope with the degeneracy of the genetic code in two manners: having more than one tRNA (with a specific anti-codon) for a particular amino acid; and 'wobble' base-pairing, i.e. permitting non-standard base-pairing at the 3rd anti-codon position. The record is from RNAcentral. Lineage: Bacteria; Pseudomonadati; Elusimicrobiota.
GCUGGGAUAGCUCAGUUGGUAGAGCACACCCUUGGUAAGGGUGAGGUCGCCGGUUCAAUCCCGGUUCCCAGCU